GGGCUUGUACUGGUUUCGACAGGCCGGCUGAAGAUGGUGAAGCUAUCCGUGGACUGUGACCACGCUAAAACGCAGAUUUUAAAAUUAAACGCUAACAAUAAUAAAUUAGCUUACGCUGCCUAAUUACGGCAGCUGCUGUGCUUAAGUGUCCUACAGCUUAGGUUACAGUAUCAUCCUUUGUAGGGAACCUUCAUCAUUAAGCUUUGCGUGAUGAAGAGAUUUCAUGAAGCUACUGAGUCUGGAGGGUGUUAGUUCCCAACCGGAUAAAGGAAUAUUGAAGAACUGACUAUGAUAGUAGAAGAACAUGGGAUUCCGGUUUGGACGCGGGUUCGACUCCCGCCAGGUCCACU
This 350-nucleotide transfer-messenger RNA is filed under the name uncultured Eubacterium sp. It matches the Rfam family "transfer-messenger RNA". From Rfam's summary of the family: Bacterial tmRNA, also known as 10Sa RNA or SsrA, is named for its dual tRNA and mRNA-like properties. Its role is to liberate the mRNA from a stalled ribosome. To accomplish this part of the tmRNA is used as a reading frame that ends in a translation stop signal. The record is from RNAcentral. Lineage: Bacteria; Bacillati; Bacillota; Clostridia; Eubacteriales; Eubacteriaceae.